UGGACGCAGACUUUACCCCUACCUUGUGCGGGUAGAGAGGUUUUUUCGGAUUGACCCUCGACUCAAGUAAAGCAUUUUAAAUUCUCUUCUACAAGGAAUGUGGAAAAUAUGUAAUAACCCAAGGCUACAAAAGCUACCAUCAAAUUUUUUUCUGGAACUUGCCUCCUCCAUCAAACUUUUACCUACUCAAGUACUCUUUCCUAUAAGGAAUGUCCAAAACAUGAGUCAGGCUGCCCAAAGAUAGAUUUUUUUCAUUUCAAACUAGUUACAAAUGCA
Molecule: long non-coding RNA, 276 nt
Filed under: Solanum tuberosum (potato)
Lineage: Eukaryota; Viridiplantae; Streptophyta; Magnoliopsida; Solanales; Solanaceae
Description: long non-coding RNA (STUB_LNC008597)
Source: RNAcentral